Molecule: long non-coding RNA, 223 nt
Filed under: Ananas comosus (pineapple)
Lineage: Eukaryota; Viridiplantae; Streptophyta; Magnoliopsida; Poales; Bromeliaceae
Description: long non-coding RNA (ACOM_LNC005754)
Source: RNAcentral
UUUGAAAAUAAAUUAUAUCACUAUUUUUAAUUUUUCAACGUUUAAAGUGUCUGAAAUUUUUUUUUUAAAAAAAUUCAGACAUUUUAAAGCGUCAGAAUAUAUAUAUUUCACCGACACUGCGAUGCAUGGCAUAAGCGCCGGUAUAUAUGUAGCGAUUCUUUAUUUGGCGAUAUUUUUUACUAUAAUGAUAGAUGAUUUGGGAUGCUUUCAAGCAUAAUAAGUU